This 480-nucleotide ribosomal RNA is filed under the name uncultured bacterium. Its description in RNAcentral is "partial 16S ribosomal RNA". It matches the Rfam family "Bacterial small subunit ribosomal RNA", at positions 28 to 506 of the family's 1533-position model. The record is from RNAcentral.
GACGAACGUUGGCGGCGUGCUUAAUACAUGCAAGUCAACUGAAGCAGUGGUAGCAAUAUCGCUGUGGAGGUGGCGCACGGGUGAGUAACACGUAGGUAAUCUGCCUUCAGGUCUGGCAUAACUCCGGGAAACCGGGGCUAAUAGCAGAUGAUGCAGCGGCUCGACAUCGAGACAGUUGUUAAAGCUAUGGCGCCUGAAGAUGAGCCUGCGUCUGAUUAGCUAGUUGGCGGGGUAACGGCCCACCAAGGCAACGAUCAGUAGCUGGUCUGAGAGGAUGAUCAGCCACACUGGAACUGAGACACGGUCCAGACUCCUACGGGAGGCAGCAGUAAGGAAUAUUGCUCAAUGGGAGAAAUCCUGAAGCAGCAACGUCGCGUGAGGGACGAAGGGCUUUUGCCUGUAAACCUCUGUAGUGAGAGAAAAAAAUCCCAAUCUUUGGGACAUGAUGGUAUCUCAAAAGUAAGCCCCGGCUAACUACGU